Mya arenaria is the source of this 662-nucleotide long non-coding RNA. RefSeq lists it as uncharacterized. The transcript is spliced from 2 exons. The record is from RefSeq and is a predicted model, not a curated record. NCBI's taxonomy places the organism in Eukaryota, Metazoa, Mollusca, Bivalvia, Myida, Myidae.
AUGGAUUUUAUUUAUGUCGAUAGUGUUGGAUGUUCAGAACUGCACAGGCUUAAAGAUAAUUUAUUACUGUUGUAAGUGAGAUUUUGUCAUUCACCACAGAAAUGGAAUUAACUAUCGUUGAAUGCUGCACAGUUUCCAGCAUGUGCUGGUGGGGUGGUUUAGUACUUCGCCGUUGUGUUCCACGUCAACCUUGCUCUUAUCCUUGGUCAGCAGGCGCCAAACUUUUACAUGUCACGUAACGCCAACGCUCACUUAACUUUCGUGAUAGUUCGUUCAGUAACCAACCAACAACUGUUCAAGUGUUCUAAGUCUUUAUUGUUCACCGUUCUUUCUAAGUAUAAUAAUCAGUAUAUAAUAAAGUAUCAUACGGGCCAUAUGUCUAGUCCACGCCCAAAAUCUAACCUCUAACAUGAGUAACAUGCGUUCAUAUAUACUGCUGAUCUCGUCCAGUUUGUGACAGGUAUGCAUAUCUAAUAUCUUAUUACAGACGAAGGGAUGUAUUCUAUAGUCAUGAACUGUCACGCUAAAUGGUCUAAUAGCCAGCGGCUAUCACGAACUGUCAGCAUCUAAGUGUAUCUACAUUUGAUCCCAUGAUGGAGUAUUUGCUUUUUGAUACAAAUAUGGAGUAUUUACUUUUUGAUACAAAUAAAUUUUGAAUUCUA